GUGUCAUGUAACAGUCGUCUGUCGAGUUGCUUUCGAUUCGAGCGAGUUGGUUGCGGUGGAGGCCGACGUGAAGGGCGCAUGCCCCGCGAUUACUUCGCACGAUAAUUCGCAACGAGGCGCGUAUAACCGGGCUUGUCCGGGAGGAUCGCGUGGUCGCCGGUCAUCGUAUCUCUACUACCCUUCCUCCCCCGCCGACAUACUGAUGUCCAGCUGCCACCAUCGGUCGCCGGGAACAGCACACCGCGCGGAGGGUCCGCAUUAGCCCAUUAUCUUAAUCUGCCAGCGCGUGGGACAAAUAACAGGGUAGCCUAGCCGCACACAUCCCACCGCGACCCACCGCCGCCACACGUCUCCGGUACGCUCUCUGCCUCCUUCUGCCCCACAGCUGUGUCGUGCCCCGUCGCGAUGUACACGCUCGCUUCGUUUAUAUUACGGUCAACGGAAGAGUGUCUCCAGUCAACUGGUAUCUACCUAGCGAUAUCGCAAGACGUUCGAAAAAGUCUAAGAUGAGAAUUCAUAGAUGCACGCGUCGCGUGUGGCGGAGGAUCCGUAGACGACGUUGCGCGUCAUUUUCUAAAAGGCCAGCUAUCGGUCAGCAACGUCGCGUCGUCGGGGUUGCGGUUAAUCCAGUCCGUUGGUCGCGGUCGUGGUCGUGGUCGGCAUCGUGCACGCGGCCGGUCGUAGAUGGUGGGUGGCAAGGUUGUCGAGAAGC
RNAcentral lists this unclassified non-coding RNA (712 nucleotides) under Bombus terrestris (buff-tailed bumblebee). RNAcentral describes it as "misc RNA ENSBTSG00005028794.1". The record is from RNAcentral. Lineage: Eukaryota; Metazoa; Arthropoda; Insecta; Hymenoptera; Apidae.